GAUGAACGCUGGCGGCGUGCCUAAUACAUGCAAGUCGAGCGAACAGAUGAGGAGCUUGCUCCUCUGACGUUAGCGGCGGACGGGUGAGUAACACGUGGAUAACCUACCUAUAAGACUGGGAUAACUUCGGGAAACCGGAGCUAAUACCGGAUAAUAUAUUGAACCGCAUGGUUCAAUAGUGAAAGACGGUUUUGCUGUCACUUAUAGAUGGAUCCGCGCCGCAUUAGCUAGUUGGUAAGGUAACGGCUUACCAAGGCAACAAUGCGUAGCCGACCUGAGAGGGUGAUCGGCCACACUGGAACUGAGACACGGUCCAGACUCCUACGGGAGGCAGCAGUAGGGAAUCUUCCGCAAUGGGCGAAAGCCUGACGGAGCAACGCCGCGUGAGUGAUGAAGGUCUUCGGAUCGUAAAACUCUGUUAUUAGGGAAGAACAAAUGUGUAAGUAACUAUGCACGUCUUGACGGUACCUAAUCAGAAAGCCAAGGCUAACUACGUG
RNAcentral lists this ribosomal RNA (497 nucleotides) under uncultured bacterium. Its description in RNAcentral is "partial 16S ribosomal RNA". It matches the Rfam family "Bacterial small subunit ribosomal RNA", at positions 28 to 507 of the family's 1533-position model. The record is from RNAcentral.